GUUUGCCUUUGUUGCUGCUGAAAAUCUCAAAAAAAAAAGUGCCUAUUUCAACUCACUGUGUUAAAAUCUAGUGCCAUGUGUGAAUAUGACUUAUGUCCUUCUUUAAAUCUCUUAUCUCUUAUUCAUUUAGGCAUAUUUGUGAGUGUUUAGCAGGCUUAAAAGUGUUAGUUUGACUUCUUUUAGCAUGCUUAAAAUAUGUUUGGGUGUCUUUAUUUAUUAAUCUNNNN
This 227-nucleotide long non-coding RNA is filed under the name Solanum tuberosum (potato). RNAcentral's name for it is "long non-coding RNA (STUB_LNC001130)". The record is from RNAcentral. Lineage: Eukaryota; Viridiplantae; Streptophyta; Magnoliopsida; Solanales; Solanaceae.